AGGGUUUGAUCAUGGCUCAGGAUGAACGCUGGCGGCGUGCUUAACACAUGCAAGUCGAACGAACCUUCGGGUUAGUGGCGGACGGGUGAGUAACGCGUGAGAAUCUGCCCUCAGGAGGGGGAUAACGGUUGGAAACGACCGCUAAUACCCCAUAUGCCUAUUGGUGAAAUGAAUUUCGCCUGAGGAUGAGCUCGCGUCUGAUUAGCUAGUUGGUGAGGUAAUGGCUCACCAAGGCUUCGAUCAGUAGCUGGUCUGAGAGGAUGAUCAGCCACACUGGGACUGAGACACGGCCCAGACUCCUACGGGAGGCAGCAGUGGGGAAUUUUCCGCAAUGGGCGAAAGCCUGACGGAGCAACGCCGCGUGAGGGACGAAGGCCUCUGGGCUGUAAACCUCUUUUCUCAAGGAAGAAGAUAUGACGGUACUUGAGGAAUAAGCCACGGCUAAUUCCGUGCCAGCAGCCGCGGUAAUACGGGAGUGGCAAGCGUUAUCCGGAAUUAUUGGGCGUAAAGCGUCCGCAGGCGGCUUUUCAAGUCUGCUGUUAAAGCGUGGAGCUUAACUCCAUCAUGGCAGUGGAAACUGAAAGGCUUGAGUAUGGUAGGGGCAGAGGGAAUUCCCGGUGUAGCGGUGAAAUGCGUAGAUAUCGGGAAGAACACCAGUGGCGAAGGCGCUCUGCUGGGCCAUUACUGACGCUCAUGGACGAAAGCCAGGGGAGCGAAAGGGAUUAGAUACCCCUGUAGUCCUGGCCGUAAACGAUGAACACUAGGUGUCGGGGGAAUCGACCCCCUCGGUGUCGUAGCUAACGCGUUAAGUGUUCCGCCUGGGGAGUACGCACGCAAGUGUGAAACUCAAAGGAAUUGACGGGGGCCCGCACAAGCGGUGGAGUAUGUGGUUUAAUUCGAUGCAACGCGAAGAACCUUACCAGGGUUUGACAUCCUGCGAACCUCUUAGAAAUUUGAGGGUGCCUUCGGGAAUGCAGUGACAGGUGGUGCAUGGCUGUCGUCAGCUCGUGUCGUGAGAUGUUGGGUUAAGUCCCGCAACGAGCGCAACCCACGUUUUUAGUUGCCAGCAUUUAGUUGGGCACUCUAGAAAGACCGCCGGUGAUAAACCGGAGGAAGGUGUGGAUGACGUCAAGUCAUCAUGCCCCUUACACCCUGGGCUACACACGUACUACAAUGCUACGGACAAAGGGCAGCAAACUCGCGAGAGCUAGCAAAUCCCAUAAACCGUGGCUCAGUUCAGAUCGUAGGCUGCAACUCGCCUACGUGAAGUAGGAAUCGCUAGUAAUCGCAGGUCAGCAUACUGCGGUGAAUACGUUCCCGGGCCUUGUACACACCGCCCGUCACACCAUGGAAGUUGGCCAUGCCCGAAGUCGUUACUCCAACCCUUGUGGAGGAGGACGCCGAAGGUGGGGCUAAUGACUGGGGUGAAGUCAUAACAAGGUAGCCGUA
This 1449-nucleotide ribosomal RNA is filed under the name uncultured bacterium. RNAcentral describes it as "bacterial SSU rRNA". It matches the Rfam family "Bacterial small subunit ribosomal RNA". The record is from RNAcentral.